RNAcentral lists this ribosomal RNA (415 nucleotides) under uncultured bacterium. RNAcentral describes it as "bacterial SSU rRNA". It matches the Rfam family "Bacterial small subunit ribosomal RNA", at positions 29 to 446 of the family's 1533-position model. The record is from RNAcentral.
AUUGAACGCUGGCGGCAUGCCUUACACAUGCAAGUCGAACGGCAGCACGGGAGCAAUCCUGGUGGCGAGUGGCGAACGGGUGAGUAAUACAUCGGAACGUGCCCAGUCGUGGGGGGAUAACGUAGCGAAAGCUACGCUAAUACCGCAUACGAUCUGUGGAUGAAAGCGGGGGACCGUAAGGCCUCGCGCGAUUGGAGCGGCCGAUGUCAGAUUAGGUAGUUGGUGGGGUAAAGGCCCACCAAGCCGACGAUCUGUAGCUGGUCUGAGAGGACGACCAGCCACACUGGGACUGAGACACGGCCCAGACUCCUACGGGAGGCAGCAGUGGGGAAUUUUGGGACAAUGGGCGCAAGCCUGAUCCAGCAAUGCCGCGUGCAGGAUGAAGGCCUCGGUGUAACUAGCUUUGUACGGUAAC